UACGGGGGGGGCAAGCGUUGUUCAGAAUUACUGGGCGUAAAGGGCUCGUAGGCGGCCAACUAAGUCAGACGUGAAAUCCCUCGGCUUAACCGGGGAACUGCGUCUGAUACUGGAUGGCUGGAGUUUGGGAGAGGGAUGCGGAAUUCCAGGUGUAGCGGUGAAAUGCGUAGAUAUCUGGAGGAACACCGGUGGCGAAGGCGGCAUCCUGGACCAAUACUGACGCUGAGGAGCGAAAGCCAGGGGAGCAAACGGG
Molecule: ribosomal RNA, 253 nt
Filed under: uncultured bacterium
Lineage: Bacteria
Description: partial 16S ribosomal RNA
Rfam family: Bacterial small subunit ribosomal RNA
Source: RNAcentral